This is a long non-coding RNA of Homo sapiens (human), 921 nucleotides long. Ensembl annotates it as long intergenic non-protein coding RNA 1968. NCBI's taxonomy places the organism in Eukaryota, Metazoa, Chordata, Mammalia, Primates, Hominidae. The record is from Ensembl.
GGAAAUAACACAAGAGGCAAAGAUCACUCGGGACCACCUUGUAUAUUGGCUACCACAGAACCCAACACAAGCAGUAAGUUAAAAUCAUGAAGCUCCUGACGUCAGAGGACAUGGCUCUGCCAUUUGUUAGGUAGGGAUCCUGUUAAAGGCUCAGCUUCCUCAUCUGGAAAUGGAAAUAUAGGCCUUGCCUGGUUUGCUGUAAUGGGUCGUGAUGAGGACCAAACUACAAAGAGUGGUACAGAUGUUAAUUACAAUGAUUUUUCCUAUGCCACCCAUGGAAACAAAAAUAGCAAGAUAGAGAAGGCUAAAUCCCAGUUUUUUUUGACUGCUAUUCAGCAAAGCCUAGGAGACUUUCAUGACACCUGGAGAGGCGGCCGUAGUGUAUGUGUAAGAGUACCGGUUCCAGAGUGGGGCUCCCCGAGCUCAGCCCCACCACUUACCAACAGCGGACCUUGGGCCAGAUGCUGAAGCCCUUUGUGCCUUGGUUUCCUGACCUAUUACUGUGGAAAUGAUGACAGUACCCUCCUCAUGGCAUCGUGAGAAUUAAAUUAGCUAAUUCAGGUGAAGCAUUUAGAAGAGGACCUCCUGACACUUAAUAACUGCUUGAUAUAAAUAAUAGCUUCUGCUACAGAGUGGCCAUGAAGUCUGGACAUGUAGAUAUUAUAUUAUCAUGCAUCAUAAGGGCCUGGGUCUGAAGAGUAACACAAGCAAUAGCUCUGCCUAAAACCUAUCUUGGAUUUUGUACAAGAAAGUUGUGAAGAAGUAAGAGUGACUGGUGUUAAAUGAUCAUCUCAUAGGAAUUACUACAGAAUUUGACCAUCAGCCUGGGCUCCUUUUUGUGCUUCCUGGGACCAUCUAAAUUAGUAGUUACAACGUUAAGUUACAAUGCUAAAUUGGAAAAAUAAAAGGAGUUUUCAGUUG